AUUUAAAUAACCCACUUGUUUACACUGGAACUUAGUUCAUAGGUUCUCAUCAUCAUUUAUUUCAGGCUUUUCAGGUGAAAUAUCCUGCCUAUUUCAGCUUACAGCAUUUUUAUUUCUUAUGCAAACAUGUGCAUAUGUGCGUGUGUGUUUUAAUCAAUAAAAUAACAAAUUCUCAGCUUCUUGAGGACUAUGCCAAAAAGCCUAAAGAACAAACCAGAUUACAAAUAGCACAUUCUGUUCUGUGAAUUGGGUUUUCAACCCAUUAUCAGACAAUGCCAUUUGGUUCUUUAAAAUAAAUCAAGGGGAAUAUUUCACAAGAAAGAGAUUACUUCUUCCUAUGCAAGUCAAAAAUUGGAAAAUAAAUGAACACUUGAAGCCUACUGGAGCCCUCCUGUUUUCUCCCCAAAAAGAUUACACUAGUCAAGGACUGGAGUGAUAUAAAGAAAUAGUGUCAUGUGUGAAUUAUUGGCUAUCAAAAAGAACCUGUGGAGGAGACUUCAUAAAAAUAACGUCUAAGAAAAAUCCCUUGAGAAAUGGUGCUGAACUCUAGGAAAAGAAAAAAAAAAAAAGAACUAUUUCUGUUUAACUGUAAGGACAGCUUCUUUGUUUCCUUAGCCAAACAGAGUUCUUGUGGUCUAGAAAUGUUUCUGUCUACUACAGAGGUGGAAUUACUGUGAGGCUAGGAAGGGUGAAGCUUCAGGGCCUCUCACUUGCAUAAACACUUUUCUAAGGCAUUGGAAAAGGGUCUAGGGGUUCUUGCUGGCUGUCCAGAUGUAGCUUCCACGAACACUCAUGAUUAACAUGGUGCUGGCAACAUGAAAGUGCAAGCCUACAGAUCACUGCAAAAUCAAUGUGCCCAGAGCUUCAGGCAACACAAAGUUGUGUGGAGUGAAGGAGACACAAUGUUCAAAACUUAUAAAGCCAGGAACUGGUCUUUGAAAAUUCUUCCAAAUCUUACAGUUCACAGAUGAAAGACAUUUGAUAGUUAUUUCCCGCUUCAUCAUAGUCCUAAGAAUGUAUAUGAAAUCACAAAUAACAAAUUGAGAAAAUUGAUGCAACUUUUCUAAACUAACAGUAACAAAAUGACAGAUUAUAAUCAAUCAUACUAGAGAAAAGACUGCAUUAUCUUAUUAUUCUCAACACAGAAAACGUAACAGAACUAUGUCAAAUGAGGAGGCAAUCAGAGAAUGAACAGCAGUUUAUAUAGAGCCAAAACUAUACACCCAAAAAAAUCACAGAAAUGCGUCAAGCAAUUUUCUAAAAAUUAAUUUUAUAAGUUUUGUUAUCCUUGCAGAAUUUGUCAGCAUUAAUUUUAUAAUCUGUUGUGAUUUAUUUUUAUGUUCUAAAUAAAUAUUCAAUCACUACAUUCAAUAGAUUA
Molecule: long non-coding RNA, 1378 nt
Organism: Sapajus apella (tufted capuchin)
Lineage: Eukaryota; Metazoa; Chordata; Mammalia; Primates; Cebidae
Exons: 2
Source: RefSeq, a predicted model, not a curated record